Molecule: long non-coding RNA, 1250 nt
Filed under: Olea europaea subsp. europaea
Lineage: Eukaryota; Viridiplantae; Streptophyta; Magnoliopsida; Lamiales; Oleaceae
Source: RNAcentral
CAAAGUUCAUUGACCACUGCGACCAAAGAAGCAACACAUCGGCCACGGCUUCUCUUGCAACACCGCUUGCAGAAGCAAUGGUGAAGACUGGUGAUGACUCAAGCCUUCUCAUCGGAGAUUUCUUCAAUUAUCUAUCCUGUUUUACUUCGUCAGAAAACGAUCUAACUGCUCUCAUCGCCGGAACAGCGGAGGUUUGUGGUGGUUUUUUAGGUAAUUUUUAGAUGGUUUUUCGUGGUUUUUAAGUUGAUUUUGCUAUGGUUUUGAGGUGGUUUUGGCAGUGUUUUGAGAAAUACAGAAAAAUUACCAAAAUUCGACGUUGAUCUAUUGGAAUUCCCUUUAAACUGAGAGUAUCUGGAAGCUGAAUUAUCUCAUGGUGGUGGUGUGCUGGGAGUGCUUUGUGCAGUGGUGCUGUGGCGGUCUUUCGGGUGUUGUGGUGGUGGUACUUGUGGGGACAGUGGAAUAGCUGCAGUGGUGCUCAUGGUGGUACUGGGGGUACGAUGAUUUUCUGAUAUGUUGUUCUAUGGUGGUGAUGGUGAGUUGUGGCUUGAUAUUGAUUUGGUCAUAGACAGUCACUCUGAAUAUAAUUUUGAUCACAGUUAGUCACACUGAAGGCAGAGUUGGUCACAGUUAAUUACGUGUAUAUGGUGUGUACAGAUUUGUUUAUGGUGACCCUAUACGACCAUGUGUUUGUUGUGACUGUUUAUGACCAAUUUUGUAUUGAUUGUUACCAGUUGUGACAAAUUCUGUAUUGAUUAUGAUCAGUUCUGACUUUGAGAUUGGCAUAGUCACAGACAGUCACACUAAAUACAAAUUUGGUCACAAUUAAUCACAAAUGACACAGGUAAGGUCACAGAUGUCACAGGUGCAAAUCUGAUCACUUACAAUGCACCAUUACGACUAUCACAGUUUUUUGGAGAUUUUUCAACAAUGGGGUGUAGAGAGAGAAAUUAUUUUCAAAUUUUGGAGAUUUUUCUAAUGGUGAGCCGAAGCAGUACCUGGAAUAGUUGUCGGAGUAAGCGCUGAAGUGGUCAUUGGAGCAGUUUGCUGGAGUGGUCGUCGGAGCAGUUUGCCGGGGUGAUCGUCAAAAUAGUUGCUAAAACGACCAUCGGAGUGAUCACUAGAACAAUUGCCGGAGCCGUUGCUGGAGUGAUCGCCAGAGAAUAGCCAUCUCUGGUAGACAGGUGGAGGAAAGGUGGUGUAAUGGGGUGAUAGGAUGAGGUGAAUGGCAUGGGUGUAAAUAAUUAAUGGAU